This 223-nucleotide unclassified non-coding RNA is filed under the name Hevea brasiliensis (rubber tree). The record is from RNAcentral. Lineage: Eukaryota; Viridiplantae; Streptophyta; Magnoliopsida; Malpighiales; Euphorbiaceae.
CAGCUACAUCCAUGUCUUGAAGGGCUUGUAAAUCAGAAACUCCAACAUUGAGUGAUGUGAUAUCAUUUUUUAUGGAAGUUGUCAAUUCCUGAAUUUCCUUGCUUGGAUCGUCGAAAAUUGAUGAUCGCUUUGCCAAUUUAGCUAGCCUAUCGAUUUUCUGAAAGGUUUGAUGGAUUGUCAAUCCGAUUCUCGAAGCCUUCUUGUUGAAUUCAGAUCGAUCUGG